GUGGGGAAUAUUGGACAAUGGGGGGAACCCUGAUCCAGCCAUGCCGCGUGUGUGAAGAAGGCCUUUUGGUUGUAAAGCACUUUAAGCGAGGAGGAGGCUACCGAGAUUAAUACUCUUGGAUAGUGGACGUUACUCGCAGAAUAAGCACCGGCUAACUCUGUGCCAGCAGCCGCGGUAAUACAGAGGGUGCAAGCGUUAAUCGGAUUUACUGGGCGUAAAGCGCGCGUAGGUGGCCAAUUAAGUCAAAUGUGAAAUCCCCGAGCUUAACUUGGGAAUUGCAUUCGAUACUGGUUGGCUAGAGUAUGGGAGAGGAUGGUAGAAUUCCAGGUGUAGCGGUGAAAUGCGUAGAGAUCUGGAGGAAUACCGAUGGCGAAGGCAGCCAUCUGGCCUAAUACUGACACUGAGGUGCGAAAGCAUGGGGAGCAAACAGGAUUAGAAACCCUGGUGUCC
This 450-nucleotide ribosomal RNA is filed under the name uncultured bacterium. RNAcentral's name for it is "partial 16S ribosomal RNA". It matches the Rfam family "Bacterial small subunit ribosomal RNA", at positions 354 to 796 of the family's 1533-position model. The record is from RNAcentral.